This 278-nucleotide ribosomal RNA is filed under the name Streptomyces nanshensis. RNAcentral's name for it is "partial 23S ribosomal RNA". It matches the Rfam family "Bacterial large subunit ribosomal RNA", at positions 1414 to 1699 of the family's 2925-position model. The record is from RNAcentral. Lineage: Bacteria; Bacillati; Actinomycetota; Actinomycetes; Kitasatosporales; Streptomycetaceae.
GGUGUGGUGGAGCCGGCGGUCCGAGUCUGUAGUAGGUGAGUGAUGGGGUGACGCAGGAAGGUAGUCCAGCCCGGGCGGUGGUUGUCCCGGGGUAAGGGUGUAGGGCGUCAUGCAGGUAAAUCCGCAUGGCACGAAGCCUGAGACCUGAUGCCGAGCCGAUUGUGGUGAAGUGGAUGAUCCUAUGCUGUCGAGAAAAGCCUCUAGCGAGUGCUGUUGCGGCCCGUACCCUAAACCGACUCAGGUGGUCUGGUAGAGAAUACCGAGGCGUUCGGGUGAAC